AGAGUUUGAUCCUGGCUCAGGAUGAACGCUAGCGACAGGCCUAACACAUGCAAGUCGAGGGGCAACAUGGUAUCAGCUUGCUGAUACUGAUGGCGACCGGCGCACGGGUGAGUAACGCGUAUGUAAUCUACCUGUAACAGAGGGAUAACCCGGAGAAAUCCGGACUAAUACCUCAUAGCACAUAUUAUUCGCAUGAAUUUAUUGUUAAAGUAAGACUCGGUUACAGAUGAACAUG
This 235-nucleotide ribosomal RNA is filed under the name uncultured bacterium. RNAcentral describes it as "partial 16S ribosomal RNA". It matches the Rfam family "Bacterial small subunit ribosomal RNA", at positions 8 to 233 of the family's 1533-position model. The record is from RNAcentral.